Glycine soja is the source of this 1425-nucleotide long non-coding RNA. RefSeq lists it as uncharacterized. The record is from RefSeq and is a predicted model, not a curated record. Lineage: Eukaryota; Viridiplantae; Streptophyta; Magnoliopsida; Fabales; Fabaceae. The transcript has 2 exons.
GGUUUGGUGCAUUUUGAAAGAUAAGUCAAAGGUUUCAUACCCACUUUUCCAAAAACUUGCCAAACAAGAUAUAUAUCAAAGAAAAUAUUAUAAGCCUUAAUUAUUAUAUAUAUCAUCAUUUACUUAGUUUUCACACUUUACUCUUAUAGAGUCUAUUUGCCAUGACCACUUACCCUUACACUUCUUUUAGUCCUCAACAACAACAACAAGAAGUAGAUGAGGUUCAAUUCUCUGAUGACAAACACUUUUCCCUACAUGGAAAGAUAUUGCUUUUUGUUUUUCUCUCUGCCUUCUUUCUACUCUUUGUGUUCGUCCUCAUGAUUCCAUGGCUGAAGAAUCAUGCAAGGGGUUCUCAUGAUUCAGGAACAGAAGAAGAUUCGAUUGAGUUCCAGAAUAACACUGCGUCACAAAACUGGUUCAGAAGAAGAAGGAAAGAAGAUGAUGCCAACACCAUGCAACAACAGUAGCAAAUUCUAUUCUCCUUUUAUAAUGUGAGGAAUUGCUUAUUUUUGGAGCAAGAAGUUAAGUGCUUGAAUUUCCGUGUGAAUAUGAUGUAGCUAGAGUUUAAUUAGAUAUCUGAUUCUGUGUGCAGAAACUUGUUUGUUGGUUAUGUUGGUAAUUAUUGAAUAUUUGUAGUCUUGUCAGUGUCAUAACACCUUAUGAUAUACACACAUAGUUGAAGCAUAUCAACAUAUUUUUCGUGUAUUUACUUUUUAGUCCUUGUGAUGUAGGAGAAAUUAACCUACAUAGUGUAGCUGGAUCGUUAACUCCGUUAAUCAGUUAUCUGAGAUAUAGCAGAGGUAUGGAAGAGGAUUGAAGAACAGAAGUGUCACACUCAACGUGACCUUCUCACUUAGCGCAUCAAGACCGCUUAGCCCAAGAAGCCUGCUUAGUGCAAGAAGCUAACUUAGAGGCCAACUAUAGGGCGCAUCUGGCGAUUUAGCUUGCAUAUGGCAACUUAGCAUGCAUCUGGUGGCUUAGUGCACAUGCAUUUGGUGGCUUAGCGCCUAUGCAUUUGGCGACUUAGUGCAUAAUCACUUAUACCAGCUAGACUUUGCAUGUACGCUCAGCGCGCACAUGCAGACUUAGCACACAGUGGCAAUUUUGAUUAGUCAUCAAGUGGGAAGAUAUUUGCAAAAAGUGAUUAUAUAUAUAUAAAAAAUCAACAUUCAUUCAUUCAUUCCUUUAUUACAAAGCAAAGGACAACAGAGGAGAGAAAAGGAGACAUAGGAAGCCAUACACAAUCGAUGCAAGGAAAUUCCAUUUCUUUCUAUUUUUCUUCCAUUAGAUCCCAUAUUAUAUUUGUAAGUCUCUCAUGACAAUGAGAGGCUAAAACCACCCAUUUUUGAGAGCUCUGCAAACCAAAAUCUCUUUGAUAUAAUGAUUCUAAACUAUCUAUUAAUAUGAUGUUGAUAUUAUUGUUCA